Molecule: unclassified non-coding RNA, 343 nt
Filed under: soil metagenome
Description: partial contains 5.8S ribosomal RNA, internal transcribed spacer 2, and large subunit ribosomal RNA
Rfam family: 5.8S ribosomal RNA (bases 1-120)
Source: RNAcentral
GAUGAAGAACGUGGCGAAAUGCGAUAAGUAAUGUGAAUUGCAGAAUUCAGUGAAUCAUCGAAUCUUUGAACGCACAUUGCGCCCGCCAGUAUUCUGGCGGGCAUGCCUGUUCGAGCGUCAUUUCAACCCUCAGGCCCCGCCUGGCGUUGGGGAUCGGCGCGGCCCUCUCCGGGCUGCCGGCCCCGAAAACUAGUGGCGGUCUCGCUGUAGUCCUCCUCUGCGCAGUAGCAACGCUCGCACUGGAACUCGGCGCGGCCACGCCGUAAAACACCCCACUUCUGAAAGUUGACCUCGGAUCAGGUAGGAAUACCCGCUGAACUUAAGCAUAUCAAUAAGCGGAGGA